AUUGAACGCUGGCGGCAGGCUUAACACAUGCAAGUCGAGCGGGGUGAUGGUGCUUGCACUAUCACUUAGCGGCGGACGGGUGAGUAAUGCUUAGGAAUCUGCCUAUUAGUGGGGGACAACAUCUCGAAAGGGAUGCUAAUACCGCAUACGUCCUACGGGAGAAAGCAGGGGAUCACUUGUGACCUUGCGCUAAUAGAUGAGCCUAAGUCGGAUUAGCUAGUUGGUGGGGUAAAGGCCUACCAAGGCGACGAUCUGUAGCGGGUCUGAGAGGAUGAUCCGCCACACUGGGACUGAGACACGGGCCAGACUCCUACGGGAGGGAGCAGUGGGGAAUAUUGGACAAUGGGGGGAACCCUGAUCCAGCCAGGCCGCGUGUGUGAAGAAGGCCUUAUGGUUGUAAAGCACUUUAAGCGAGGAGGAGGCUCUUUUGGUUAAUACCCAAGAUGAGUGGACGUUACUCGCAGAAUAAGCACCGGCUAACUCUGUGCCAGCAGCCGCAGUAA
This 503-nucleotide ribosomal RNA is filed under the name uncultured bacterium. Its description in RNAcentral is "partial 16S ribosomal RNA". It matches the Rfam family "Bacterial small subunit ribosomal RNA", at positions 30 to 523 of the family's 1533-position model. The record is from RNAcentral.